Molecule: RNA transcript, 858 nt
Organism: Drosophila sechellia
Lineage: Eukaryota; Metazoa; Arthropoda; Insecta; Diptera; Drosophilidae
Exons: 6
Source: RefSeq, a predicted model, not a curated record
GUGGACACGGCGUCUUAGAAUUAUUAAUUUUUUGUGUUUAUAAUCGCGAAAAUAGGCGAUUUCGUUUUGUUUUUGCGACGCUCGCCACCUCUUGUCAGUUGCUUUAGAUGUGGAACAGCAGUUGGUUGUGGUCAAGUAGGUUUUAGCGUCAGCUCUUGUAGGCGCUCGUCGAUCUGGAUUUUGAGAGUAGCAGGAAGGAUGGAUUUUGCAGCUCCGCGCUGGGUGCCCUGGUCAGCAGCUUUUGUGGCCCGUCUUUUGCAGCGCUGCAUUGCAGGUACCCCUGCCAGAAGGACAGGAGCGCCGAGUCGUUGGAAUCGUCAGGAGUCAUCACGGGCAGGCGCCUGUAGUGUGUUGGCUGUGAUUUGUUGUGGCCGCUGGAGGAGCGCCGCUUGCAACGAGCUCGUCCCGGUCGGUGUUGCAAGCAGUUGCAUAAGUUUUGAAGAAGCUAGAAUCCCGCGCAGCCGUCAUUGGGAUGUAAUGGAGCUGCUGUCAACAUGGUGGUGGAAACGAAGGUUGCACGGUGCGCCGCGUCCUGUGGCCAUUGCGUCGGGACUGGCAGCUAGGAGCUUCCAGAUCAGGAAAAGUUGCCGAGGACCGCCGCAUCGGAAGAGGUCAUGGUGUUUCAGGAUGUUCCGGGUCAAGGAUUGUUGUCGGGGACCGUAGCAGCGAUUUGGGCCAUGGAAAUGAAUGUAAAGAUAAAUUUUAGGGGCCCAGGCUGAACGAUAUUUGGAGGUGUGUUUUUUUUUUUUUUAGGUAGGCUGUUCUGAAGGUGCGUUUGUAGCAGCUAAUUUAGAGGCCGUCGUAGCUGUGAUGCCGUGGUUUUUGGGUUCUUCAAGCUUGCGAUUAAUAUGGAGGUGA